RNAcentral lists this non-coding RNA (459 nucleotides) under Phaethon lepturus (White-tailed tropicbird). RNAcentral's name for it is "Eukaryotic small subunit ribosomal RNA". It matches the Rfam family "Eukaryotic small subunit ribosomal RNA", at positions 633 to 1112 of the family's 1831-position model. Lineage: Eukaryota; Metazoa; Chordata; Aves; Phaethontiformes; Phaethontidae. The record is from Rfam by way of RNAcentral.
GUUCACUUAGUAUUUAUUAGAUGACAUAUUCUGUAAAUUACUGUUUAAUAAAUACCAUAACAAGUUGCAAGUAGUUUAUUGGAAUUUUAAGGUUAAAAUGCCAUAAAGUUUUACAUUUCAUAUUCAGACUUGAUAUUUGAGUGGCUUCAGAACAGAGUCAAAUUUACAAAAGGUCUUUUGGAAUGGGACUCCAUUUCUACUUGAUUGGUUUUUGGAAAUGGGGCCAUGAUUAAGACGGGCAGCCAGGGGCAUUUGUAUUGUGCCACUAGAGGUGAAAUUCCUGGGCCGGUACAAGACAGCCUAGAGUGAAAGCAUUUGCCAAGAAUGUUUUCAUUAAUCAAGAACAAAAUCAGAUGUUUGAAGACAAUCAGAUACUGUCAUAGUUCUGGCCAUAAACAAUGCCAACCAGCAAUAAAUUUUGGGGGGGAGUCUGUGGCACAAUUGGUUAGCAUGUUUGGC